UACGGAGGGUGCAAGCGUUGUCCGGAUUCAUUGGGCUUAAAGGGUGCGCAGGCGGGACAUUAAGUCAGGGGUGAAAGACGGUUGCUCAACAAUCGCAGUGCCUUUGAUACUGGUGUUCUUGGGUGACGGUGAGGUAGGCGGAAUGGGUGGUGUAGCGGUGAAAUGCAUAGAUACCACCCAGAACUCCGAUUGCGAAGGCAGCCUACUGGUCGUUAACCGACGCUCAGGCACGAAAGCGUGGGGAUCAAACAGG
Molecule: ribosomal RNA, 253 nt
Filed under: uncultured bacterium
Lineage: Bacteria
Description: partial 16S ribosomal RNA
Rfam family: Bacterial small subunit ribosomal RNA
Source: RNAcentral